Molecule: ribosomal RNA, 446 nt
Filed under: uncultured bacterium
Lineage: Bacteria
Description: partial 16S ribosomal RNA
Rfam family: Bacterial small subunit ribosomal RNA
Source: RNAcentral
CCUACGGGAGACAGCAGUCGAGAAUCAUUCACAAUGGGGGAAACCCUGAUGGUGCGACGCCGCGUGGGGGAAUGAAGGUCUUCGGAUUGUAAACCUCUGUCAUGUGGGAGCAAAUUAAAAAGAUAGUACCACAAGAGGAAGAGUCGGCUAACUCUGUGCCAGCAGCCGCGGUAAUACAGAGGUCUUAAGCGUUGUUCGGAAUCACUGGGCGUAAGGCGUGCGUAGGCUGUUUCGUAAGUCGGGUGUGAAAGGCGCGGGCUCAACCCGCGGACGGCACAUGAUACUGCGAGACUAGAGUAAUGGAGGGGGAGCCGGAAUUCGCGGUGUAGCAGUGAAAUGCGUAGAUAUCGAGAGGAACACUCAUGGCGAAGGCGGGUUCCUGGACAUUAACUGACGCUGAGGCACGAAGGCCAGGGGAGCGAAAGGGAUUAGAUACCCCAGUAGUC